This is a long non-coding RNA of Zerene cesonia (dogface butterfly), 281 nucleotides long. RefSeq lists it as uncharacterized. The transcript is spliced from 2 exons. Lineage: Eukaryota; Metazoa; Arthropoda; Insecta; Lepidoptera; Pieridae. The record is from RefSeq and is a predicted model, not a curated record.
CGUAUUUACCAAAAGCGUAUUCAUAUUAGAUUUUCGAUCUCGCAAUGCCAGCCGGCCGUAUCGAGAAUGUCACCGAUACAUUCGAUUCUUUAUUCGAGUCUAUUCGAGUACGCCGCACGCCGCGACACGGAAGGGUGUCAAAUAAAUACAGACCUCCUGCCUGUCUCGUCAACCGUGAUGCCGCUGCCUUUCUACUCUGUUUAUAAUUACGAAAAGAAACUGCUCAGGGAUAAACAAAAGAAACGACCUCAAGGGAAAAUCUCGCUAGUCACUAAACAGCC